Pelobates cultripes (western spadefoot toad) is the source of this 397-nucleotide non-coding RNA. NCBI's taxonomy places the organism in Eukaryota, Metazoa, Chordata, Amphibia, Anura, Pelobatidae. The record is from the annotation of a GenBank genome assembly.
UGUGAAACCUCAAUAAAAUCACAAACAGUCAAACCAUAGCAGGCAACACACAGUGACUUAUCACAACACAAUGGCACAUUUUUAAAGGGGUGGGGGAGACAAUAUUUAACAGUAAAUAUCUCACCUGCCUGCAGAAUUAGCAAUAUGCAAAUCUACCCGAAUAUGCAAAUGAACCAGUCUUGCAAUUCAGGUAGUGCAUAUUGCUGUUGCUACCAACAGAGAGCACUAGACAAGCUCCAUAGCCAAACCCACCUAGUUGGUAGCAAACCUCAGCAGUACAGGAGAGCAGGCAAUACAUUUCACAGUACACACACACACACUAUAAACAAUUACAUUACACACACCCUGCACCUAUAAUGGGUACAGGGUGACUAAAACAUAAGAUAAAUAAAGCAAC